This 465-nucleotide ribosomal RNA is filed under the name uncultured bacterium. RNAcentral's name for it is "partial 16S ribosomal RNA". It matches the Rfam family "Bacterial small subunit ribosomal RNA", at positions 338 to 795 of the family's 1533-position model. The record is from RNAcentral.
CCUACGGGAGGCAGCAGUGGGGAAUAUUGCGCAAUGGGCGAAAGCCUGACGCAGCGACGCCGCGUGAGGGAUGAAGGUCUUCGGAGCGUAAACCUCUGUCAGCAGGGAAGAACAGUCACUGUGCUAAUCAGCAGUGAAUUGACGGUACCUGCAAAGGAAGCACCGGCUAACUCCGUGCCAGCAGCCGCGGUAAUACGGAGGGUGCGAGCGUGAAUCGGAUUUACUGGGUGUAAAGCGCUCGUAGGCGGUAGGUCAAGUCAAGGGUGAAAUCCCCGGGCUCAACGGGGGAACUGCAUUUGAAACUGGCAAACUUGAGUGCGGGAGAGGAUAGCGGAAUUCGAGGUGUAGGAGUGAAAUCCGUAGAUAUCUGGAGGAACAUCAGUGGCGAAGGCGACUAUCUGGAACAUAACUGACGCUGAGGAGCGAAAGCGUGGGUAGCAAACAGGAUUAGAUACCCGGGUAGUC